RNAcentral lists this long non-coding RNA (526 nucleotides) under Xyrichtys novacula (pearly razorfish). The record is from RNAcentral. Lineage: Eukaryota; Metazoa; Chordata; Actinopteri; Labriformes; Labridae.
AAACAGUCAGCAAGAAAACAGUCAACAAGAAAACAGUCAACAAGAAAAUGCUGCUCCCCCGUGUCGUUCAGGAGCCCAAACAAAGUUAGCGUGCUACAAUAUCGGACAGUAGAAACCAACCAGAAAGUUCGGAAAAUUGUCUGAAUCCUCCUUUGGCCACGACUGCCGACACAAGCAAGAAAACACUCAAACAUAAACAGUCAGCAAGAAAACAGUCAACAAGAAAACAGUCAACAAGAUAACAGUCAACAAGAAAACAGUCAACAAGUAAACAGUCAGCAAGAAAACAGUCAACAUCAAAACAGUCCUCCAUAAACAGUCAACAAGAAAACAGUCAACAAGAAAACAGUCAGCAAGAAAACAGUCAACAUCAAAACAGUCAACCAUAAACAGUCAACACCAAAACAGUCAGCAAGAAAACAGUCAACCAUAAACAGUCAGCAAGAAAACAGUCAACCAUAAACAGUCAGCAAGAAAACAGUCAACAAGAAAACAGUCAGCAAGAAAACAGUCAGCAAGAAAACAG